RNAcentral lists this ribosomal RNA (432 nucleotides) under uncultured bacterium. RNAcentral's name for it is "partial 16S ribosomal RNA". It matches the Rfam family "Bacterial small subunit ribosomal RNA", at positions 29 to 506 of the family's 1533-position model. The record is from RNAcentral.
AACGAACGCUGGCGGCAUGCCUAACACAUGCAAGUCGAACGAGACCUUCGGGUCUAGUGGCGCACGGGUGCGUAACGCGUGGGAACCUGCCCUUAGGUUCGGAAUAACUCCCCGAAAGGGGUGCUAAUACCGGAUAAUGUCUUCGGACCAAAGAUUUAUCGCCUUUGGAAGGGCCCGCGUUGGAUUAGCUAGUUGGUAGGGUAAAAGCCUACCAAGGCGACGAUCCAUAGCUGGUCUGAGAGGAUGAUCAGCCACACUGGGACUGAGACACGGCCCAGACUCCUACGGGAGGCAGCAGUGGGGAAUAUUGGACAAUGGGCGAAAGCCUGAUCCAGCAAUGCCGCGUGAGUGAUGAAGGCCUUAGGGUUGUAAAGCUCUUUUACCCGGGAUGAUAAUGACAGUACCGGGAGAAUAAGCUCCGGCUAACUCCGU